Molecule: ribosomal RNA, 499 nt
Filed under: uncultured Glomeromycotina
Lineage: Eukaryota; Fungi; Glomeromycota
Description: partial small subunit ribosomal RNA
Rfam family: Eukaryotic small subunit ribosomal RNA
Source: RNAcentral
CCAAUAGCGUAUAUUAAAGUUGUUGCAGUUAAAAAGCUCGUAGUUGAAUUUCGGAACCAAUAUGUCGGUCGUGCUUCGGUACGUACUUGCAUUAUUGGUUUCUCUCUUCUGAAGAACCAUGAUGUCAUUAAUUUGGUGUCUUGGGGAAUCAGGACUGUUACUUUGAAAAAAUUAGAGUGUUUAAAGCAGGCUCACGCUUGAAUACAUUAGCAUGGAAUAAUGAAAUAGGACGUUUGAUUCUAUUUUGUUGGUUUCUAGGAUCGACGUAAUGAUUAAUAGGGAUAGUUGGGGGCAUUAGUAUUCAAUUGUCAGAGGUGAAAUUCUUUGAUUUAUUGAAGACUAACUACUGCGAAAGCAUUUGCCAAGGAUGUUUUCAUUAAUCAAGAACGAAAGUUAGGGGAUCGAAGACGAUCAGAUACCGUCGUAGUCUUAACCAUAAACUAUGCCGACUAGGGAUCGGAUGAUGUUAAUUUUUUAAUGACUCAUUCGGCGCCUUACG